This 253-nucleotide ribosomal RNA is filed under the name uncultured bacterium. Its description in RNAcentral is "partial 16S ribosomal RNA". It matches the Rfam family "Bacterial small subunit ribosomal RNA", at positions 524 to 776 of the family's 1533-position model. The record is from RNAcentral.
UACGUAGGGGGCAAGCGUUGUCCGGAUUUAUUGGGCGUAAAGAGCGUGUAGGCGGCCAGAUAGGUCUGCUGUGAAAACUCGAGGCUUAACCUCGAGAUGUCGGCGGAAACCAUCUGGCUAGAGUCCGGAAGAGGAGAGUGGAAUUCCUGGUGUAGCGGUGAAAUGCGCAGAUAUCAGGAAGAACACCUAUGGCGAAGGCAGCUCUCUGGGACGGUACUGACGCUGAGACGCGAAAGCGUGGGGAGCGAACAGG